GCCGCCAUGGUGAAAUUGGUAUACACGUACGCUUGAGGUGCGUAUGCCGAAAGGUGUGGAGGUUCAAGUCCUCUUGGCGGCA
This is a non-coding RNA of Candidatus Shapirobacteria bacterium CG2_30_35_20, 82 nucleotides long. The record is from Rfam. Lineage: Bacteria; Candidatus Shapironibacteriota.